RNAcentral lists this ribosomal RNA (492 nucleotides) under uncultured bacterium. Its description in RNAcentral is "partial 16S ribosomal RNA". It matches the Rfam family "Bacterial small subunit ribosomal RNA", at positions 29 to 507 of the family's 1533-position model. The record is from RNAcentral.
AUUGAACGCUGGCGGCAUGCUUUGCACAUGCAAGUCGAACGGUAACAGGCCUUCGGGUGCUGACGAGUGGCGCACGGGUGAGUAAUGCAUCGGAACGUACCCAGAGGUGGGGGAUAACGCAGCGAAAGCUGUGCUAAUACCGCAUGUGAUCUGAGGAUGAAAGCGGGGGACCGAGCAGCAAUGUUUGGCCUCGCGCCUUUGGAGCGGCCGAUGUCGGAUUAGCUAGUUGGUGGGGUAAAGGCCUACCAAGGCGACGAUCCGUAGCUGGUCUGAGAGGACGACCAGCCACACUGGGACUGAGACACGGCCCAGACUCCUACGGGAGGCAGCAGUGGGGAAUUUUGGACAAAGGGCGCAAGCCUGAUCCAGCAAUGCCGCGUGCGGGAAGAAGGCCUUCGGGUUGUAAACCGCUUUUGGCAGGAACGAAACGGUGUCCGCUAAUACCGGGCGCUAAUGACGGUACCUGCAGAAUAAGCACCGGCUAACUACGUG